AAUAUUUGACAAUGGGGGGAACCCUGAUCCAGCCAUGCCGCGUGUGUGAAGAAGGUCUUCGGCUUGUACAGCCCUUUAAGAUGGGAGGAAGAGUUGUAGGCUAAUACCUUGCAAUUUUGACGUUAAUAACAGUAUAAGCACCGGCUAACUUCGUGCCAGCAGCCGUGGUAAUACGCAGUGUUCAAGUGUUAAUCGGAAUUACUGGGCGUAAAGCGCGCGUAGGUGGUUCGUUAAGUUGGAAGUGAAAGCCCCGGGCUUAACCUGGGAAUUGCUUUCAAAACUGACGAGCUAGAGUACGGGAGAGGGUAGUGGAAUUUCCUGUGUAGCGGUGAAAUGCGUAGAUAUAGGAAGGAACAUCAGUGGCGAAGGCGACUACCUGGACUGAUACUGACACUGAGGUGCGAAAGCGUGGGGAGCAAACAGG
This 424-nucleotide ribosomal RNA is filed under the name uncultured bacterium. RNAcentral's name for it is "partial 16S ribosomal RNA". It matches the Rfam family "Bacterial small subunit ribosomal RNA", at positions 360 to 776 of the family's 1533-position model. The record is from RNAcentral.